UACGUAGGGUGCGAGCGUUAAUCGGAAUUACUGGGCGUAAAGCGUGCGCAGGCGGUUAUUCAAGACAGAUGUGAAAUCCCCGGGCUCAACCUGGGAACUGCAUUUGUGACUGCAUGGCUGGAGUGCGGCAGAGGGGGAUGGAAUUCCGCGUGUAGCAGUGAAAUGCGUGGAUAUGCGGAGGAACACCGAUGGCGAAGGCAAUCCCCUGGGCCUGCACUGACGCUCAUGCACGAAAGCGUGGGGAGCAAACAGG
Molecule: ribosomal RNA, 253 nt
Filed under: uncultured bacterium
Lineage: Bacteria
Description: partial 16S ribosomal RNA
Rfam family: Bacterial small subunit ribosomal RNA
Source: RNAcentral